AGCCUUAAGAAGUCAUUUAAGGUGAAACCUGCCCAGUGCAAUCCCGUAAACGGCCGCAGUACCUUGACUGUGCUAAGGUAGCAUAAUAAUUUGUCCUUUAAAUGGGGUCUAGUAUGAAUGGGAUUAUAGGGUGAGACUGUCUCUACUUUACUAACUUGAAUUUACUUAUUAGGUGAAAAUGCCUAAAAUUUGAUGAAAGACGAGAAGACCCUAGGAGUUUUUACUAAAAAGUUAAUCUUGACUUUUCGUUUUCGUUGGGGCGACGUGGGAACAAAUAAAACUUCCUUAUAAAGAUAAACCGACUAUGUAUACUUAAUUAAACUACCCUAGGGAUAACAGCGUAAUUCUUUUUGAGCUUGCGACCUCGAUGUUGGACUAGGAAUUUAGUAGGCUAGCCGCCUAUUUACAUUGUUCUGUUCGAACUACUCUUCC
RNAcentral lists this ribosomal RNA (432 nucleotides) under Sohgenia sp. 1 JEV-2014. RNAcentral's name for it is "partial 16S ribosomal RNA". It matches the Rfam family "Bacterial large subunit ribosomal RNA", at positions 1829 to 2595 of the family's 2925-position model. Lineage: Eukaryota; Metazoa; Mollusca; Gastropoda; Caliphyllidae. The record is from RNAcentral.